Equus asinus (donkey) is the source of this 850-nucleotide long non-coding RNA. NCBI's taxonomy places the organism in Eukaryota, Metazoa, Chordata, Mammalia, Perissodactyla, Equidae. The record is from Ensembl.
CUUGUCCUUGUUCCUCCUUCCAUCGCCCCUCAACCCACUGGGAAGGACUCAGAGGUCUGAAGUGGAUGCUGGUGGUUAUCCACCCAACAGCCAUUUCCCUCUUCUCCCUUGCUAACAGAACGCGACUCUGUCCAGGUGACAAUGGGCUGGGCCUCGGGAGUGAAUGGUGAUCAGUCUAAACCAAUGGUGAUAACCUGUUUCCCUUCUGGGAGUGAAUGAUCUAAAGUGGGUCGUGUGAGGACAAGAUGGCUGCCACACCAACUGCCCAAUUGGGAAGGCUGGAGUAAGGCCGGACCAACUCAGCCCAGGUGUGUGUGCACACGUUCCUUAGUGCUCCAGUGCAGCUCCUUGUAUGCUCGACCCUCAGAAAACCUGGUUCUUCUCUCCACCUAUCCACGAGUUCCAGCAGUGUUCAUCUCAGCCCUCACCUCUGCAGCCUCCAGUGUGCAUCUCCUUUGAGCUUCCAUCACCCCAAUUCCCUGACCACCUUAGCGCUUCCUGCCACCUGAUAUCCACUCCGCUCUCACUGGCUUCAUUCCACAGCUCUCUGGCCCCUGGCCUCAUACUUCGUCCUUGGCUGUCCCAAGAACUCUUCUCAAGAAACCUUGACUCCAAAAUGGGCAAAGUUCCCUUCACACUUAGAGAGAGGUGGUGGUUGUACAACAUUGUGAGUGCAAUAAAUGCCACUGAAUUGUGUACUUUAAAAUGGUUCAUCGUAUUUACAUGAAUUUCACCCCCAAAGAGGACUGUGAACUCCCUGAAAAUAUUUGUGAAAUUUUCAACAUUGUACAUAGCAUUAAAAAUAUUUUAAAGGAGACUGUGAUCUCCAAAAAUAUGAAUGUAAAGCACA